CGGGUGAGUAACACGUGGAUAACCUACCUAUAAGACUGGGAUAACUUCGGGAAACCGGAGCUAAUACCGGAUAAUAUUUUGAACCGCAUGGUUCAAAAGUGAAAGACGGUCUUGCUGUCACUUAUAGAUGGAUCCGCGCUGCAUUGGCUAGUUGGUAAGGUAACGGCUUACCAAGGCAACGAUGCAUAGCCGACCUGAGAGGGUGAUCGGCCACACUGGAACUGAGACACGGUCCAG
Molecule: ribosomal RNA, 237 nt
Filed under: uncultured Staphylococcus sp.
Lineage: Bacteria; Bacillati; Bacillota; Bacilli; Caryophanales; Staphylococcaceae
Description: partial 16S ribosomal RNA
Rfam family: Bacterial small subunit ribosomal RNA
Source: RNAcentral